This 497-nucleotide ribosomal RNA is filed under the name uncultured bacterium. RNAcentral's name for it is "partial 16S ribosomal RNA". It matches the Rfam family "Bacterial small subunit ribosomal RNA", at positions 28 to 507 of the family's 1533-position model. The record is from RNAcentral.
GAUGAACGCUGGCGGCGUGCCUAAUACAUGCAAGUCGAGCGAACAGACGAGGAGCUUGCUCCUCUGACGUUAGCGGCGGACGGGUGAGUAACACGUGGAUAACCUACCUAUAAGACUGGGAUAACUUCGGGAAACCGGAGCUAAUACCGGAUAAUAUUUUGAAACGCAUGGUUCAAUAGUGAAAGACGGUUUUGCUGUCACUUAUAGAUGGAUCCGCGCCGCAUUAGCUAGUUGGUAAGGUAACGGCUUACCAAGGCACCGAUGCGUAGCCGACCUGAGAGGGUGAUCGGCCACACUGGAACUGAGACACGGUCCAGACUCCUACGGGAGGCAGCAGUAGGGAAUCUUCCGCAAUGGGCGAAAGCCUGACGGAGCAACGCCGCGUGAGUGAUGAAGGUCUUCGGAUCGUAAAACUCUGUUAUUAGGGAAGAACAAAUGUGUAAGUAACUAUGCACGUCUUGACGGUACCUAAUCAGAAAGCCACGGCUAACUACGUG